CACAUACUCCCUCUGUCCGGAAAUACUUGUCGUAGAAAUGGAUGUAUCUAGAUGUAUUUUAGUUCUAGGUACAUCUAUUUUAAUUCAUUGUGUGACUAGUAAUUCCGGACGGAGGGAGUAUAUG
Non-coding RNA from Hordeum vulgare subsp. vulgare (domesticated barley), 124 nucleotides. The record is from Rfam. Lineage: Eukaryota; Viridiplantae; Streptophyta; Magnoliopsida; Poales; Poaceae.